RNAcentral lists this ribosomal RNA (253 nucleotides) under uncultured bacterium. Its description in RNAcentral is "partial 16S ribosomal RNA". It matches the Rfam family "Bacterial small subunit ribosomal RNA", at positions 524 to 776 of the family's 1533-position model. The record is from RNAcentral.
GACGAACCGUCCAAACGUUAUUCGGUAUCACUGGGCUUAAAGGUUGCGUAGGCGGGCGAGUAAGGUGGGUGUGAAAGCCCUCGGCUCAACCGAGGAAUUGCGCCCAAAACUGCUCGGCUCGAGGGAGAUAGAGGUGAGCGGAACUUAGGGUGGAGCGGUUAAAUGCGUUGAUAUCCUAAGGAACACCGGAGGCGAAGGCGGCUCACUGGGUCUUUCCUGACGCUGAGGCACGAAAGCUAGGGGAGCGAACGGG